CAGCUCUCUAGCACUGAGGAUUUAAACCCAGAACCUUACUUAGCACAUGCUACAGAAGAGCUCUACCACUGAGCUACACGAUUAAUUCCAGUAACUUCAUCUAUAAAGAAUGCUGAGAGGAUUGAUGUAUGCUUCGGUAGACUGCCCAUGUUAACAAUGGGUCAUGCCGUCAUCUAUGUUGAGAACAGGCUUCAGAGUCAAGCCUGCUUAGAGAGAACCAAAGCAGGAGGGAGUGGCUUCUGCUUUGAAAAAUCAGAAUCCGGAUGAAGAAAAUAUGGAUGAAUUUAAACAUAAUGAAUUUAAAAAUUUGAAAACACUGAAUAAAACUGUUACAAAUGUUU
Molecule: long non-coding RNA, 341 nt
Filed under: Mus musculus (house mouse)
Lineage: Eukaryota; Metazoa; Chordata; Mammalia; Rodentia; Muridae
Description: predicted gene, 35430
Source: RNAcentral